AGGACGAACGCUGGCGGCGUGCCUAACACAUGCAAGUCGAACGAGAUCCAACCGGUAGCAAUACCGGUGAAGAUCGAGUGGCGAACGGGUGAGUAGCACGUGAGCAACCUGCCCCGAAGACCGGGACAACACCGGGAAACCGGUGCUAAUACCGGAUAUCCCCACUGAGUCGCAUGGCUCGGUGAGGAAAUGGAUUCCGCUUCGGGAGGGGCUCGCGGCCUAUCAGCUUGUUGGCGGGGUAACGGCCCACCAAGGCGACGACGGGUA
RNAcentral lists this ribosomal RNA (267 nucleotides) under uncultured bacterium. Its description in RNAcentral is "partial small subunit ribosomal RNA". It matches the Rfam family "Bacterial small subunit ribosomal RNA", at positions 26 to 285 of the family's 1533-position model. The record is from RNAcentral.